RNAcentral lists this long non-coding RNA (348 nucleotides) under Cucumis sativus (cucumber). RNAcentral describes it as "long non-coding RNA (CSAT_LNC003153)". Lineage: Eukaryota; Viridiplantae; Streptophyta; Magnoliopsida; Cucurbitales; Cucurbitaceae. The record is from RNAcentral.
AAAAAUAUGAUUAUCGAUUUAUCGAAAUCUAAUUUGUAAAUGGCUUAAAACAUUUAGUUUGUUGAAAAAAAAAGGACAAAACAAUGGACCAAUGGACAGCUAAUACGAGUCGGUGAACCGAAUACACAAAAUUCUCUAAAUCCAAUUAAGCAAGAUUUCAAAAAAAAAAAAAUUCUAAUAAAAACCCUACAUGUACAGUCUCUCUCAUUUAAAGUUUCUUUCUCCUCUUCUCUAACGGCCAAGUCUCCCUCUUCCCCCUCUUCUCCCCCUUCUCUCUUGCUCUCUUGUCUUCUUUGGCCUAUCUCUCAAUUUCCGUUUCUGUAAGGAAGAAACCCUAUCAUACCCAUU